Molecule: ribosomal RNA, 588 nt
Filed under: uncultured bacterium
Lineage: Bacteria
Description: bacterial SSU rRNA
Rfam family: Bacterial small subunit ribosomal RNA
Source: RNAcentral
UCCUACGGGAGGCAGCAGUGGGGAAUAUUGGACAAUGGGGGAAACCCUGAUCCAGCAAUGCCGCGUGUGUGAAGAAGGCCUUCGGGUUGUAAAGCACUUUUGUCCGGAAAGAAAACCUUUGCACUAAUACUGUGAGGGGAUGACGGUACCGGAAGAAUAAGCACCGGCUAACUACGUGCCAGCAGCCGCGGUAAUACGUAGGGUGCGAGCGUUAAUCGGAAUUACUGGGCGUAAAGCGUGCGCAGGCGGUUCGUUAAGACAGAUGUGAAAUCCCCGGGCUUAACCUGGGAACUGCAUUUGUGACUGGCGAGCUAGAGUAUGGCAGAGGGGGGUAGAAUUCCACGUGUAGCAGUGAAAUGCGUAGAGAUGUGGAGGAAUACCGAUGGCGAAGGCAGCCAUCUGGCCUAAUACUGACGCUGAGGUACGAAAGCAUGGGGAGCAAACAGGAUUAGAUACCCUGGUAGUCCAUGCCGUAAACGAUGUCUACUAGCCGUUGGGGCCUUUGAGGCUUUAGUGGCGCAGCUAACGCGAUAAGUAGACCACUUGGGGAGUACGGUCGCAAGACUAAAACUCAAAUGAAUUGACGGA